Molecule: ribosomal RNA, 253 nt
Filed under: uncultured bacterium
Lineage: Bacteria
Description: partial 16S ribosomal RNA
Rfam family: Bacterial small subunit ribosomal RNA
Source: RNAcentral
UACAGAGGGGGCAAGCGUUGUUCGGAAUUAUUGGGCGUAAAGAGCGUGUAGGCGGUCCGGUAAGUCAGCUGUGAAAGUCAAGGGCUCAACCCUUGAAUGCCGGUUGAUACUGUCGGGCUAGAGUCCGGAAGAGGCGAGUGGAAUUCCCGGUGUAGCGGUGAAAUGCGCAGAUAUCGGGAGGAACACCAAUGGCGAAGGCAGCUCGCUGGGACGGUACUGACGCUGAGACGCGAAAGCGUGGGGAGCAAACAGG